This 82-nucleotide transfer RNA is filed under the name Citrobacter freundii. Its description in RNAcentral is "tRNA-Ile". It matches the Rfam family "tRNA". From Rfam's summary of the family: Transfer RNA (tRNA) molecules are approximately 80 nucleotides in length. Their secondary structure includes four short double-helical elements and three loops (D, anti-codon, and T loops). Further hydrogen bonds mediate the characteristic L-shaped molecular structure. tRNAs have two regions of fundamental functional importance: the anti-codon, which is responsible for specific mRNA codon recognition, and the 3' end, to which the tRNAs corresponding amino acid is attached (by aminoacyl-tRNA synthetases). tRNAs cope with the degeneracy of the genetic code in two manners: having more than one tRNA (with a specific anti-codon) for a particular amino acid; and 'wobble' base-pairing, i.e. permitting non-standard base-pairing at the 3rd anti-codon position. Lineage: Bacteria; Pseudomonadati; Pseudomonadota; Gammaproteobacteria; Enterobacterales; Enterobacteriaceae. The record is from RNAcentral.
GGGGCUAUAGCUCAGCUGGGNNGGUUAGAGCGCACCCCUGAUAAGGGUGAGGUCGGUGGUUCAAGUCCACUCAGGCCUACCA